GUAAGGAAUAUUGGUCAAUGGAGGGAACUCUGAACCAGCCAUGCCGCGUGCAGGAUGACUGCCCUAUGGGUUGUAAACUGCUUUUGUCAGGGAAUAAACCUUUCCACGUGUGGGAAGCUGAAUGUACCUGAAGAAUAAGGAUCGGCUAACUCCGUGCCAGCAGCCGCGGUAAUACGGAGGAUCCAAGCGUUAUCCGGAUUUAUUGGGUUUAAAGGGUGCGUAGGCGGUCCUAUAAGUCAGUGGUGAAAGACGGCAGCUUAACUGUCGCAGUGCCUUUGAUACUGUAGGACUUGAAUCUAUUUGAAGUGGGCGGAAUAAGACAAGUAGCGGUGAAAUGCAUAGAUAUGUCUUAGAACUCCGAUUGCGAAGGCAGCUCACUAAGUUAGUAUUGACGCUGAUGCACGAAAGCGUGGGGAUCAAACAGGAUUAGAUACCCGAGUAGUCC
RNAcentral lists this ribosomal RNA (445 nucleotides) under uncultured bacterium. RNAcentral describes it as "bacterial SSU rRNA". It matches the Rfam family "Bacterial small subunit ribosomal RNA", at positions 354 to 796 of the family's 1533-position model. The record is from RNAcentral.